Molecule: long non-coding RNA, 785 nt
Organism: Pipistrellus kuhlii (Kuhl's pipistrelle)
Lineage: Eukaryota; Metazoa; Chordata; Mammalia; Chiroptera; Vespertilionidae
Exons: 3
Source: RefSeq, a predicted model, not a curated record
CCCCUGGGCUCUGACAGCGCCGCCGCCUUGUUGGCGCCGCGGCGAGGCUUCUCCCUCCCCCGUGGCCCCCGGGGGGCGGCCAGGAGCGCGGACGCCGGGCGAGUCCCCCCAUCACGUAGACGCAGCCGCCAGGUUGCCCGCCAGCUUCUCACCUGUCGGCCUCCAUGCGCUGUCCGAGCCCCGCACCGGUCUCCGUGCGGUGACGUCACAGCCAGGUGUGCCGCCCGCAGAGAAGCCCCGGAUCUGGAACCCACGGGCGGCAGACAUGGGCGUGCCGGGCUUUAUUUACAUCCGCAGGUAAAGGGGGAAUGGAGAACGCUCAUUCCACAGGUUCCGAAUAAAAUAAAUGAGAAGAUGAAACUUAGGAGCCCAGAGGCGGGUUGCCAUGGCUUUACAACGCCCAGCCUGCCGCCCAGCCAGGGUAACGAUGGCCCUGGAAUGAUGGCUGUGGAAGAGGACACGGUGGGCCUUUACGUUAACGGACGGAGGACACGGAGAUCGAAGGCCAGAGGGCCAAUGACAUGCCUAAAACGCCCAACGAGGAUUGGAACAACCCAGGCCUUUUUGGGUCCUUCACGCUCAAUGAGCUAAGUUUAAGAUUCCCGUUACCAAGGAAUGAUUCCAGGUUCUCAUCAAUAAGACGACGUCUCGAUUUAUUCUUGAUAAGGUUCAUGCUUGAAAAUGACUGUUCGCAUAAAUGUGUAGACCCGAAUAAGGAAAGAACAGCAAACGCCAGUUUUUUCAGUUGAUUAUAUGAGUCGGGAAUACUGUUCCAGGUGUUAAAA